This 478-nucleotide unclassified non-coding RNA is filed under the name Mirbelia rubiifolia. RNAcentral's name for it is "partial miscellaneous RNA". The record is from RNAcentral. Lineage: Eukaryota; Viridiplantae; Streptophyta; Magnoliopsida; Fabales; Fabaceae.
GUUGUAAAACGACGUUAUGCAUGAAUGUAAUGCUCAUAACUUCCCUCUAGAUUUAGCUGCCGUCGAGUCUCCAUCUAUAAAUGGAUAAUAUUUAGGUCUUAAAGUAUACUAGUUUUUGAAAGUAAAAGAGCAAUAUCAGCAGAGUUGAUAUUGCUCUUUUACUUUUCAGAGUCUUUUUUUAUACAUAAAUUGUGGAUUUAUUAUAAUAUUCUUUAAUAUUCUUUCUUUUAACAUAAGAUAUAAAAAAAUUGGAAUUUCUUAUUUUUCUUUCGUAUUUCGGAAUGUAAAAAAACGAAUCUUUCCCCGCCCCCCUUUUUUUAUUAGAAGACGAGUAAAAACUUAGAAAAAAAAGAAUGUGAACGAAACAGUCCAAAUUGAAGUCUCAGUAAUUUUCACAUAAGAUAAGAUAGGGGCGGAUGUAGCCAAGUGGAUCAAGGCAGUGGAUUGUGAAUCCACCAUGCGCGCCUGUGUGAAAUUG